Molecule: ribosomal RNA, 244 nt
Filed under: uncultured bacterium
Lineage: Bacteria
Description: partial 16S ribosomal RNA
Rfam family: Bacterial small subunit ribosomal RNA
Source: RNAcentral
CCGGCGCACGGGUGCGUAACGCGUAUGCAAUCUACCUUGUACAGAGGGAUAGCCCAGAGAAAUUUGGAUUAAUACCUCAUAGUGUUAUCGAAUGGCAUCGUUUGAUAACUAAAGUUCCAACGGUACAAGAUGAGCAUGCGUCCCAUUAGUUAGUUGGUAAGGUAACGGCUUACCAAGACAAUGAUGGGUAGGGGUCCUGAGAGGGAGAUCCCCCACACUGGUACUGAGACACGGACCAGACUCC